CCUACGGGAGGCAGCAGUGGGGAAUAUUGGACAAUGGGCGAAAGCCUGAUCCAGCAAUGCCGCGUGUGUGAAGAAGGCCUUCGGGUUGUAAAGCACUUUCAGUGGGGACGAAAGCCUUGGGGCUAAUACCCUCGAGGAAGGACAUCACCGACAGAAGAAGCACCGGCUAACUCCGUGCCAGCAGCCGCGGUAAUACGGAGGGUGCGAGCGUUAAUCGGAAUUACUGGGCGUAAAGCGCGCGCAGGCGGUCUGAUAAGCCGGUUGUGAAAGCCCCGGGCUCAACCUGGGAACGGCAUCCGGAACUGCCAGGCUAGAGUGCGGGAGAGGAGGGUAGAAUUCCCCGUGUAGCGGUGAAAUGCGUAGAGAUCGGGAGGAAUACCAGUGGCGAAGGCGGCCCUCUGGACUGACACUGACGCUGAGGCGCGAAAGCGUGGGUAGCAAACAGGAUUAGAUACCCCGGUAGUC
This 465-nucleotide ribosomal RNA is filed under the name Vreelandella stevensii. RNAcentral describes it as "partial 16S ribosomal RNA". It matches the Rfam family "Bacterial small subunit ribosomal RNA", at positions 338 to 795 of the family's 1533-position model. Lineage: Bacteria; Pseudomonadati; Pseudomonadota; Gammaproteobacteria; Oceanospirillales; Halomonadaceae. The record is from RNAcentral.